UACGUAGGGUGCAAGCGUUGUCCGGAAUUAUUGGGCGUAAAGAGCUCGUAGGCGGUUCGUCGCGUCGGCUGUGAAAACCCGGAGCUCAACUCCGGGCCUGCAGUCGAUACGGGCGGACUUGAGUGUUGCAGGGGAGACUGGAAUUCCUGGUGUAGCGGUGAAAUGCGCAGAUAUCAGGAGGAACACCAAUGGCGAAGGCAGCUCGCUGGGACGGUACUGACGCUGAGACGCGAAAGCGUGGGGAGCAAACAGG
Molecule: ribosomal RNA, 253 nt
Filed under: uncultured bacterium
Lineage: Bacteria
Description: partial 16S ribosomal RNA
Rfam family: Bacterial small subunit ribosomal RNA
Source: RNAcentral